RNAcentral lists this long non-coding RNA (274 nucleotides) under Elaeis guineensis (African oil palm). RNAcentral describes it as "long non-coding RNA (EGUI_LNC032462)". Lineage: Eukaryota; Viridiplantae; Streptophyta; Magnoliopsida; Arecales; Arecaceae. The record is from RNAcentral.
GGCUUAAAGGGAUCAAACGAGAUAAAAAAUGGAGUUAAAACAUAUUUAAAAUCAAAGUCGAAAAUCCAUGGAACCAAUUAACAAGCUGGUGGUCCACCAUGGACCACGUGGUCUAUCAGAAGCUUGGUGAGCCAUAUGAGAAGCUACAGUAACAUCUUAAAAACCUUUCACGUGGCUGACAAGGGAAACAGUGGAUUUUUUUCGCGAGCGGGUGCAUGUGGGUCCGACCAAGCGGAAGCUGGGCACGCAUUCGGCUUAGCGUGGCCUUCACGCA